RNAcentral lists this transfer RNA (72 nucleotides) under Rhipicephalus microplus (southern cattle tick). Its description in RNAcentral is "tRNA-Phe". It matches the Rfam family "tRNA". Rfam says of the family: Transfer RNA (tRNA) molecules are approximately 80 nucleotides in length. Their secondary structure includes four short double-helical elements and three loops (D, anti-codon, and T loops). The record is from Rfam by way of RNAcentral. Lineage: Eukaryota; Metazoa; Arthropoda; Arachnida; Ixodida; Ixodidae.
GCCGAAAUAGCUCAGUUGGGAGAGCGUUAGACUGAAGAUCGAAGGUCCCUGGUUCGAUCCCGGGUUUCGGCA